This 222-nucleotide unclassified non-coding RNA is filed under the name Hevea brasiliensis (rubber tree). The record is from RNAcentral. Lineage: Eukaryota; Viridiplantae; Streptophyta; Magnoliopsida; Malpighiales; Euphorbiaceae.
GAAUCAAAUAUGAAAACCAUAACGGAAGAAGAAGAAAACUAAGGUAGCAACCAUAGCAAUUGCUUCCAAAAGAGAGGCAAUCUUGAAUAAAAUAAAUUCAACGAACCGAUGAUGACACAAUUUGUAUAGACUCUUCUUCUUCCGCGAACACAAAUUCCUAAAUCUCCGUCUCAAUGAGGUUGCCUUAUAAGUCCUAGAAUUAUUAUUAUUAUUAUCAUCGUC